Molecule: small RNA, 46 nt
Filed under: Vibrio cholerae O1 biovar El Tor str. N16961
Lineage: Bacteria; Pseudomonadati; Pseudomonadota; Gammaproteobacteria; Vibrionales; Vibrionaceae
Source: RNAcentral
CAGCCAUCGGCUGGCCUUUGGUGAGAGCCAAGGAUGGCUCUCAUAA